Solanum lycopersicum (tomato) is the source of this 1591-nucleotide non-coding RNA. NCBI's taxonomy places the organism in Eukaryota, Viridiplantae, Streptophyta, Magnoliopsida, Solanales, Solanaceae. The record is from RefSeq and is a predicted model, not a curated record.
AAUAGAGAGAAGAAGAGAGAAAGUGAAUAUGUGUAUUUCCUAUCUUGUAUGGAACUGUAUUACAUUUUAUAUAGAAUUGAAAUACAACUGAAAUGGAUUCAAUUCUAACUAACUUUGUUAUUUCGAGUUCUGUGCCUAACUAACUGUAACUACUUCCAUCACUAACUAAUAUAUGAAGAUCUCUUUUUCAUGUAACAUUUCCCUUACUUUAAUUUAUUUUCACAAGGUCGAUUUUCCUUAUUUUUCUUCACAUCUAGAGGGAAGGCAGAUCUAGUUAUUCUGGAUUAGACAGGGGAUGAGAAAUCAUUAUUCGUGUCAUUUAUUCAAUACUUGUCGGACUCGGGCUUCACCCCAAAAUGACAGAAAGAAAGAUUAGCUCAUUUUUGUCUUUCAUGGAUUGCUGCUCGAUUUUACAUGCAUCAGUAAUAAAGAUGUUGCAUUGGGCUCAUGCCAUCUCUCUGAAGAUUUGUAGUUUUUAUCUCCUUUUGUAAAUAACUUCCUUCGACUUUUGAGAAGUGCCUAACAAUUUCCCAGAUCUGCUCCCCAAAAAAAUUAAGGAACAUUUGUCAUAAAUUUGUCUUUUCCACCUGUUAAAGAGCUGCUUCACCUAACAUUAGAUGCUGAACUUUUAACUCGGAUUUCGGGCAUGAGGAAAACAUAUUACGUAAAAAAUCUUGGAAUCAAUUGAAACACUUGCACAAGAGCUAGACUUUUUCGUCUAUGGCACGGAACUGUCAUUUUGCUUGCCUACUGUGAUUCCAUAGCUGUGAUGGUUAAGCCAAAUCCAGAGUUGUGCUUCCUUUUUCUUUUCAAAUAAUAUUUGACUUGUUGGAACUAAGAGUUGUUCCAAGAACAAAAAAAGAUACAAAUAAACUCCAUUUUCCUAUUGUCUUUUGAGAACAAGCUACUUAUAUAAGUUUGCCUGUCUUUGAUUUGCAGCAAAAUAACACAGAGCUUCUUGUUGGUAUGGGUGAGACAGCAGUUCAAAAAGCAAAUGCAUGAGACUGAUCCGGCUGAAAUUCAGAAAUUGAAGGAUGACAAAUGCUGCAAGGGGGCUAAUAAAUUACAUGUUGCAUGAAUCUGAAAAGAUGACUGGCCGGAAAUUCAGCCAGAAUUAUUGAAUUUGUCUGUUAGCAAACUGCUACAAGGAAUUCCAAGAUACCAGUCCCAAUCUUGGUUUAGGAUGUACUAAAAGUUCUCGAUCAGUACUAAACAUUGUACAGGGUUUGGUUUUAAACAUUUGGCCGCAGCCAGAAGUUUCAUUUAUAUUACUUUUCCAUACCGUAGUGAUACAGAUGCUGUGUCUAAAUUUAUGAAGUAUUUUAGUGGUGAAUAGUUUUUUCUUUGCAAAGUAGUUAAAUUCUGAAACUGAAUCAUAUAUUGACAACUUUCAGAAAUGGUGAAAUUUCUCAGGCAAAGUUAUCAUUGUCUGGCGCACACAAUUUCUUAUAUCGAUAGUAGUACUUCAUGCUUCAUAUUCUCUAUAAGCAAAAGAGCCACCUAAAAUGCCAACAUGGUAUAAAAUAAUGCUUCAUUCCUUUGAUCAAUCAGAUGAUGAAAAAAUUGUACAAAAAUAACGGUCUAAACUAAA